This 548-nucleotide long non-coding RNA is filed under the name Homo sapiens (human). Its description in RNAcentral is "long non-coding RNA NONHSAT035635.2". The record is from RNAcentral. Lineage: Eukaryota; Metazoa; Chordata; Mammalia; Primates; Hominidae.
UCAGAUUCCUCUACAGUUUAUUGUUAUAGCAGAAGUUGUGGGAGACGGGAGGGCACCCUCCACACAUACUACAGUGUGGUCAGAGCCCCAGGGUAGCCCUUUCCACCCUAUGCCAAGCCCCAAGCAGCCCAGCCCAAGCUUAGCUCCCUCCCCAGUCCCACUCUAGAUGCACACUGAGCUACCAAAGUUAGUGCAGCCAAACGGCCCCAGGAGCUGGGGGGAAUCACGGGUUAAAGGUCAAGGUUAGGGUAGCAAUCAAAGAUCAAGGUCAUCUCCCCGCAUGAUCUGCCCUUUUUCCCUUGCUUACGGUGGCCCAAUGCCCCUUCAGCACCUCCCAGGUUAGCUCUGGGGGAGGUGAGGGCUGGGUCCCACUCUAGGGCAACAAGGGCCAUUCAACAGGAGACCUCCAUGGUGUGCCCCGGGGGCCCCGAAGAAAGAGUUCCAGACUCGCUGCUCUGGGACAGGGUGCGAGAGCGGGACCGGUUGCCAUCAACGGAUGCUGCACUGGUCAGAGAGGCUGUACGAGACCGGGACAGGCGAGUCAUGCA